UUGUCGGGAGCGCGCUUUACGGUCACCAUCCGGCCAUUCUUUCUGUUCUGUCAGAGCAAGCCCGGAGUAGACGUGUUUCUCAUACAGAGCGGAGCAGACAUCUACUACCAGUCCGAAGAGCCGUGCCUGUAGUCGCGUUGCGUCUUUGCUUUGACCAGAACCAACCAACUCUGAAUUUGCAUUAAAUAUGUCUAAUAUCGUUUGCUGUCAAACGCCUCAGGUUAUAAUGUAUUACCAACACAGAAUAAGUACAACUCUAUAGCCAACGGGAUCCCGAGGACUUGAUUACAGUCGCUUCAAGCCUGAUAGUUUGUCCGUGCGGCUGCUCCCCCUCUCCCUUCCACUCGAGCCUGUUUUAGUCAACUGGCAUUUCUUCUAACGACGUACCUUCCUUGGAUAAAGAAGACUCGAGUUCCGCUGUGAUCUCAGUUUGCUUUGCCUGUAUCCUACUUUCGACUCUGCUUCCCUGGAUUUGCAAUAUACUCUAUUCGGCAUACCAUUUAAAAAAAGAUUCACCAAGAUGAUUCCCAACGGUUAUUUGAUCUUUGAGGAUGAGAGUUUCCUGGAUUCCACCGUGGCCAAAAUGAACGCUCUGAGAAAGAGUGGUCAGUUCUGCGAUGUUAGACUGCAGGUGUGUGGUCAUGAGCUGAUGGCUCACCGUGCUGUCCUGGCUUGCUGCAGUCCCUAUCUGUUUGAGAUCUUUAAUAGUGACAUUGAGCCUCACGGAGUGUCUCAUGUCACUUUUGAGGACUUGGACCCAGAGGCUGUGGAGAUCUUGCUCAAUUAUGCCUAUACUGCCCAGCUAAAGGCAGAUAAAGAACUAGUUAAGGAAGUUUACUCUGCAGCCAAAAGGUUCAAGAUGGAGCGAGUCAAACAGAUUUGUGGUGACUACCUGCUUUCUAAAAUGGAUUCCCAGAGCGCCAUCUCUUUCCGUAACUUUGCCAGCUCUAUGGGAGAUGCCAGAGUUUUGGCCAAGGUGGACGCCUUCAUCCAGGACCAUCUACUGGAAGUGUCUGAACAGGAAGACUUUCUCAAACUCCCCCGCCUCAAGUUAGAAGUAAUGCUAGAAGACAACCUGACCCUGCCCAGCAAUGGCAAGCUCUACUCCAAGGUGCUCAGCUGGGUGCAGCGCAGCCUCUGGGAGAACGGGGACCACCUGGACCGCCUGAUGGAGGAGGUGCAAACGCUGUACUACUCACCUGACCAUAAGCUGGUGGAUGGAGGGCUGGUGAUUGAUGGGCACAGUGAGGUGUUUGGUGGCGAGGAGGACCACCUUCAGUUUGUGCAGAAGAAACCCGUACGGGAGAGCACCCAGAGACAGAUGAGCUGCAGCUCCUCGGGAAGCCUGUCGCCCUCCAACCAAGCAGCUAAUGCGCCCAAACAGACCGGCCGGAGAGAGUGGAAGUACAUCGCCUCUGAGAAGACCACAAACCACACCUACCUGUGUCUGGCUGUGCUGGAUGGUGUGUUGUGUGUGAUCUUCUUGCACGGUCGCAGCAGCCCUCAGACCUCCCCCUCUGCCACCCCCUGCCUGAUGAAGAGCCUCAGCUUCGAGGCCCAGCCCGAGGAGCUGGAGGAGCAGCCGCUCUCUCCCAUGCAUUACGCUCGCUCCGGUCUGGGCGCCGUGGCCCUGAACGGAAGACUCAUCGCAGCAGGAGGAUACAACAGAGAGGAGUGUCUGAGGACUGUGGAGUGUUACGACCCCAAAGAGGACCGCUGGACCUUCAUUGCUCCCAUGCGGACUCCGAGGGCUCGAUUCCAGAUGGCUGUGCUCAUGGGUCAGCUGUAUGUGAUUGGAGGAUCAAAUGGACAUUCUGAUGAGCUGAGCUGCGGGGAGAUGUACGAUCCACAGGCUGACGAGUGGGCUCAAGUGCCAGAGCUGAGGACAAACCGCUGCAAUGCUGGUGUCUGCUCAUUGAACAACAAACUCUACGUUGUGGGUGGGUCGGACCCCUGCGGGCAGAAGGGCCUGAAGAACUGUGAUGCUUUUGACCCUGUGAUCAAAACCUGGUCUAACUGUGCCUCCCUCAACAUCAGGAGGCACCAGGCUGCCGUGUGCGAGUUGGACGGCUUCAUGUACGUGAUCGGAGGGGCGGAGUCGUGGAACUGCCUGAACACUGUGGAGCGCUACAACCCCGAGAACAACACCUGGACCCUGAUCGCCCCCAUGAACGUGGCUCGCAGGGGGGCCGCUGUCGCUGUCCAUGCAGGCAAACUGUUUGUUAUUGGCGGCUUCGAUGGCUCCCACGCGCUCCGCUGUGUGGAGGUGUACGACCCCGCCCGCAACGAGUGGAGGAUGCUGGGUAGCAUGACGUCGUCCCGCAGCAACGCGGGCGUGGCCAUGCUGGGAGAAACCAUCUACGCUGUGGGCGGCUUCGACGGGAACGAGUUCCUCAACACGGUGGAGGUGUACAACCCCGAGACGGACGAGUGGAACGAUUGCACCACGACCCUGUCUCCCCUCUCUGACUGAAGGGGGUUGGAGUUUCAGUGCUUCAACUUUUCCAAACUAACAGGCUUAGUGACGUAAUCGUGUUUCGUGAUGUUUUGUCUUCAGUGAAGACUGGCUUGUAUUUGGCGGGUGGGAUAAAAGGGAGGGGGGCGGGGGGGUUGCCCAAAGCAACAUGACGCCUUUGCAUAUUGCAUACAAUGUUUUUCGUGCUGUAUAUAUUUUGUUUCUUCCUCAUUUUUUGUCAUAUGCCAACAUUUAAUACACAUUUAGUGCUUUUCUUUUUAACUUAAGAGUUGAAAGGUUUUUCACUGGAGGGUUUUCAGAUGAGCUAGCAGUUAUCGGUCACUUGGAACGUGGCAGUAUGGUGACCAUUGACUUUGAAGGUUUUAUUUGUAGAAAUGUUACUUUGCUCACAUUUAAUGGUCAGUGGUUUGAACUUGAAGCCUUACUCGGAGAGUGCGAGUUAGAAAAAAAAAACACCUCAUGGCUAUUUCUGUCAUUUUAAACGAGCUGGAUUGCUUUUUUGAAUCUUAAAUGGCCUUUUUUAUAUUUUUUUAUACACUGCUGAUUUACUGAUAAAAGUAGUAGCAGAUGGCUUGAAGUUAAUGAAUCGUGCCAGUUUUAGUAAUACCUUUGUGCACACACACCACACGCACAACCAUGCUUCUGCUAACCAAACUUUUGUUAUUGUGAUUGAACUAAUCAAUGUAUGUAGAGAUGCAGUUUACUGAAGUUUCUUAUUUCUCUUUUGUGUUUUAAAGUGUCAGGCAUUGGCAGAUUCUUCUGAAGGGAAUGUUAAAAACGAGAAUUAACACAUUUGUAACAUUUCUUAAUUAAUAAAUCAUUUAAAUCUGA
Molecule: RNA transcript, 3307 nt
Organism: Gymnodraco acuticeps
Lineage: Eukaryota; Metazoa; Chordata; Actinopteri; Perciformes; Bathydraconidae
Gene: ivns1abpa
Gene name: influenza virus NS1A binding protein a
Exons: 16
Source: RefSeq, a predicted model, not a curated record